This 2250-nucleotide long non-coding RNA is filed under the name Homo sapiens (human). RNAcentral describes it as "HSALNT0359106". The record is from RNAcentral. Lineage: Eukaryota; Metazoa; Chordata; Mammalia; Primates; Hominidae.
CGAGAAACAUCUUGCCAAUUUUCAGAUUAAUCUGUGAGGAAAGUAGAUUGGUUUACUAGACUCAGUUUGUAGACUUUGGUGAGAACUGAAUUGGAGGCUAUGAAAAAAAUACCUUUUGGGCCUUUCUGAAUAGACAUAUAUACAUAAAUUAUAUCUCUUACAUUAAGUGAGGCACAUAUGUAGGUGAGAUUUUUACCUGAAUAUUAAAAGUUUAAAAGUCGUUACCUAUUCUGUUUACUUAAUAGUAUUUAAAGGGUGUGAGAGGUGUUAUGUGUUUCUGUCCCUUGUUUUUAUUCCUAUCCCUCCCAUCUAACUGUUGGUACUCUUAUCUUCCCAGGUAUUAAACUUGUAUGUUUUAAAAGCUUAUUUACUUGUUGAAAUGGUUAACUUAAUUAGUUUUUUCUUUGAAGUUUCAGCCUAAAUAUUUUCUGUUUUUUUAUAUGUCCUUUAAAUAUGAAAAUUCUACAGCUAAUCAUAAUUAGUAAUUGUACUUUUUCCCCUAUUACAAUAACUGGUUUCAUAAUAAAAUGGUAUCCCUUCAAUAACAAGCAUUUAUAGUAGUUUAUUAAAACUAAGGGUGUUAUCUAUUCAAACCAAGCAAUGCAGACUUACUGUUGACUCUGUUAAUAUAUUUUAAAAUUGCAUAUUACUAAAAUUUAAAAUAUGAUUUUGACUAGUAUUUUGGUGUAUGUUAUUUUAGAUAUUUUGAUUAUGCACUACUUAAGAAUGAAUUGUCAAGUAUGAUUAUAAAGUUGAUAUAAUAGUUAACCUUCAGUGGGAAUAGGAAUCAUUUAAUAUUGUUAGAUAUUUGUAUUAUUAGAACAAUCUCCUAUGAUUCUUACUAAUAUAGUAAUGAAUGACAGACAAUAUGUUGGCUUUCAUAUUUAAAAAUUCACAUGCAUUUCUAGUUUAUGUUUUUCUUCGACUAAAAUUCUGCAGCACUUAGGCAAAGCUAUUUUUACCAGUUGGAAAAAAAGUAAGUCAUUUCCAACCAAUUUUCCUGGCUUGUAGUAUAGAAUAAAGAGACUUGAUUUUAUUACAUUAAAGCCAAAUAUAAAAUGAUGCAAUCUAGCACACACUUGUUUGGAACUUUUCUCUUUUAAAUAUUCAGAUUAAGAGGACGUUGAAAGGUAAAUUUUUUUUUUUUUUUGAGACGGAGUCUAGCUCUGUCACCCAGGCUGGAGUGCACUGGCACGAUUUCGGCUUACUGCAAGCUCUGCCUCCCAGGUUCAUGCCAUUCUCCUGCCUCAGCCUCCCGAGUAGCUGGGACUACAGGCGCCUACCACGGUGGCGCCCGGCUAAUUUUUUGUAUUUUUAGUAGAGACGGGGUUUCACCGUGUUAGCCAGGAUGGUCUCGAUCUCCUGACCUCGUGAUCUGCCUGCCUCGGCCUCCCAAAGUGCUGGGAUUACAGGUAAAUUUUGAUUGUUAUUAGCAACUAUAAAAGUUUUGCAGUUGGCUUAUUGGAAAAAGAAAACCUCCUUGCCGGAGACGGAGACGCAUUUGUAUUAGAACUUUGUUUUCUGAGUACCUUACCUAUAGUAGGUUUCAAAUAUUGGUGAAUUAGUUGAUGGUUAGGUCUGCAUAAUUACUGCGUAUGGAAAUUCUGGAACCCUAUUUUUUCAAAAUGCAGCUAAUGUUGAGAGAAUAUGCACUAAAUAUUACUAGAUCUUUGUUUUUCAAGAUGCUGAUAUCCCUUAACAUCUUCUGCACUUUACCUGUUUGAAUAUCUUUUUUGCUGUAAAAAUUAGUGGCCUUAUGUCUUUCUGCAUAAUUAUAGAGUAGCCAAAACCUGUUUUAGGUUAAUCACCUCUGGCAAAAUAAAUGAUAAAAGCAUAGCUUUUGUAAGCAGAAUGAUAUUACAGAAGUUAACUUAUAAAUCUAAGUGUAUUAAAGACACUUAGGAAAUUUAUGAUAAUGCUGGGUCAGCAUUACAGUUUUAACUUUUUACAGUUUUUCAUAUGCUUUUUUUGUGAUUUUGCUGUAGAAAAUUAACAGUUGGCAUUUGGCUUAGUUCAAGUAUAAUGCUGUUGACAAGUAUAUCUGACACGUCAUUGAACUAAUAAUAUUUUUGAAAGCUGAUAGGUACUUAUUUUUAAAGCUAUAGAGGUAAUAUUUCAUCAGUUGCAGAUUUGUUGCCAAAUGAACGAGUUUGUAGUAUUGCUAACAAGGAGAAGAAUUACUAGCAAGUCUUGAUGUUACUUUUGAAGAGUGUGAUGAUUGCAUUUAGGAAGAUAUCUAAACUUCUGUUU